Oryza sativa Japonica Group (Japanese rice) is the source of this 610-nucleotide non-coding RNA. NCBI's taxonomy places the organism in Eukaryota, Viridiplantae, Streptophyta, Magnoliopsida, Poales, Poaceae. The record is from RefSeq and is a predicted model, not a curated record.
UCUGGUAGAAAGAAGGGCACCGGGGAGCAGCAUGGAGGUGAAGGUGAGCAAAGUCAGGGAUCCUCAUCAUCCCAGAAGCAGCAGAGCGUGAGUGAAACACAACGAGAGAGGGAGAAACACGAUCUGCCACCGAUGUAUCUGGACAUAGACGACUUGAUCAUAACUCGGACUUCAGAUGGCGAGGAUUCGGACGAGCUGUGCUCCAUCAAGUCGGACAGCCCCAGGGACGCUACGCCGCCCAGGAAGAUACCUCCUGCAGGCCGACGUUCGUAGUUCGAUCAUUUUCUAGUGUGAUCGAUCCGUGCCACGCAUGCACCUGUGUCCCAUAUAGGAGUAGUAGCGUAGUACUAUGUAGCUGUACUAAUUGUGUGUGUUCGUGUCAUGUUCAAUUUAGUGAGGUUGGAGAGAGCUAGCUAAGGUUCGUUUCUGUGUGUGUGUCGCAAUUUAAAUUUAGUUUGCUGUGUGUCUAGGUUUUGUGUGUGUCGUAAUUUAAAUUUAGUUGCAUGUACGCGUGUAUGUCGCUUAGCUGAUCGGUCGGCUAUGAGAGACUGGCUAAUUGUAUUGUCGUAAUUUAAAUUGAGUCUAAUGAUCGUGCGUACGUCGUGUUUAA